GACGAACGCUGGCGGCGUGCUUAACACAUGCAAGUCGAACGGAAAGGCCCUGCUUUUGUGGGGUGCUCGAGUGGCGAACGGGUGAGUAACACGUGAGUAACCUGCCCUUGACUUUGGGAUAACUUCAGGAAACUGGGGCUAAUACCGGAUAGGAGCUCCUGCUGCAUGGUGGGGGGUGGAAAGUUUCGGCGGUUGGGGAUGGACUCGCGGCUUAUCAGCUUGUUGGUGGGGUAGUGGCUUACCAAGGCUUUGACGGGUAGCCGGCCUGAGAGGGUGACCGGCCACAUUGGGACUGAGAUACGGCCCAGCCUCCUACGGGAGGCAGCAGUGGGGAAUAUUGCACAAUGGGCGGAAGCCUGAUGCAGCAACGCCGCGUGCGGGAUGACGGCCUUCGGGUUGUAAACCGCUUUCGCCUGUGACGAAGCGUGAGUGACGGUAAUGGGUAAAGAAGCACCGGCUAACUACGUG
Molecule: ribosomal RNA, 468 nt
Filed under: uncultured bacterium
Lineage: Bacteria
Description: partial 16S ribosomal RNA
Rfam family: Bacterial small subunit ribosomal RNA
Source: RNAcentral